UACGGAGGGUGCGAGCGUUGUUCGGAAUCACUGGGCGUAAAGCGCGUGUAGGCGGCCCAUUAAGUCUGAUGUGAAAGCCCGGGGCUCACCCCCGGAAGUGCAUUGGAAACUGAUGGGCUGGAGUCCCGGAGAGGAGGGUGGAAUUCCCAGUGUAGAGGUGAAAUUCGUAGAUAUUGGGAAGAACACCGGUGGCGAAGGCGGCCAUCUGGACCGCAACUGACGCUGAGGCGCGAAAGCGUGGGGAGCAAACAGG
This 253-nucleotide ribosomal RNA is filed under the name uncultured bacterium. RNAcentral describes it as "partial 16S ribosomal RNA". It matches the Rfam family "Bacterial small subunit ribosomal RNA", at positions 524 to 776 of the family's 1533-position model. The record is from RNAcentral.